Molecule: long non-coding RNA, 1278 nt
Organism: Spea bombifrons (plains spadefoot toad)
Lineage: Eukaryota; Metazoa; Chordata; Amphibia; Anura; Pelobatidae
Exons: 3
Source: RefSeq, a predicted model, not a curated record
CACAACACGACCCCAGGAUGGAAACAGAGCUCAGGAAAUCUGAACAAGAGAUGUCUGCCAAAAAAUGGACAGCCCCUAAGGUUACAUAUGGGCGACCCCGGUCACAAAGAUAAGAGAUAUCAACUGGCAGUGCUUUCCAAGUGUAAUUCCAUCAAAAAAUGUAUUCAGAACAGAGCCUUCCCAGCCAAAACAGGCAUUCCAGACGGUUGCUGUAUGAUCUUGUACUGGUUCCCAGUUUGGAAAAUGCAGAGCCGUACAGUACUACAUAGAAAUUGUAUUCUGCAUGCAUCCCUACAUUUUGUUUUAAAUGUUUCUUAAUGUAACCUUUGCCGGGAGAUAUUUGAUUUAUCGUCAACGCUUAAAUCAGAAAUCAAACAUGGCGCCAGAAUAACUGGGAUCAAGAAGCACAUAAAACGGAGCUCAAACUGAGCCUGGGCGCGCAGAAAAGUGCAGGAGUCAAGUCGCCUGAUUUAUUCCUUUUCGGCAAGCAAUUUCUGGAUUAAUUUCAUAUGGACUGGAAGACUUUACGCGUCAAGUUAAAGACUUACUGACUUGGACUUUACAGCAAACUAAUUGUGUCCCGUGUAAACUGGUAAAUCGGUUUUAUACUAAGAGAGAUAAGGGUGGGUAUUUAAACUCAAAACUGGGAGGUAAUUACUGCUGCUAUGAAAUUUACAAAUGUGUACAAAUUCUAUUUUUCUUUCACUUAUUACAGAUUUUAUGAAUAUCCGAUAUAGAUCUGUUGAAAUACUCCUUUAACCUAAACCACGCCACUGUAUACAAUGGGCACUUUAUCUCUCCUACAUUACGUGUGUGGGAUGGUGGGCUGCAAUACUCGAACUUGCUGAAAUGGUUUGUUUUGCAGAGUUGUCAAAAUUCUAAAAGAUCUUUUCUUUAAUAUAUUAUAAAGUUAUCUCUCUAAACGACUGAGCAACAAUACUCUCCUGGCAUUGAAAUUGUUAAAUAAUGUUUAGCGAGAAUAUGUUAAAUCAGGAUUACUGCCAAGAGCUUCUACCAAGUCACUUCAUAGGGCCAUGGAUAAAUGUUCUAGCAAGUUUUUGUAACAUGGAUUAACACCUUAAGAGCCAAACGCACAAACAUACAAUCAAAUGGUUAAACGCCUGACCUGCUUAAAACCAUCAUAUGUUUGGGCUAUUAAGAUAUAAACCUGACAAAUAAAUCUCUGUUACAAUUUUCUUUGGAUUUAUGGCUUGUGAAUAAAUUUGAUUGAAAAACAAGUGUUAACAAAGAAAUUCAAUAAAAAUGUCAACGGGUGCA